Molecule: ribosomal RNA, 424 nt
Filed under: Bothriechis schlegelii
Lineage: Eukaryota; Metazoa; Chordata; Lepidosauria; Squamata; Viperidae
Description: partial 16S ribosomal RNA
Rfam family: Bacterial large subunit ribosomal RNA
Source: RNAcentral
CAAAGGUAGCAUAAUCAUUUGUCUUUUAAUUGUAGACCUGUAUGAAAGGCAAAAUGAGAGCCCAACUGUCUCUUAUAACAAAUCAAUUAAACUGAUCCCCUAGUACAAAAGCUAGGAUACCAACAUAAGACCAGAAGACCCUGUGAAGCUUUAACUAACCUAUUAAACCCAAUAAUAGCUACUUUCGGUUGGGGCGACCUUGGAACAAAAAAGAACUUCCAACAUAUGACUAAUCAUAAAACAAGGCAAACAAGCCACACCAGACCCAGUAUUACUGACAAUUGAAAUAAGUUACUCCAGGGAUAACAGCGCCAUCUUCUUUAAGAGCCCAUAUCAAAAAGAAGGUUUACGACCUCGAUGUUGGAUCAGGACAUCCCAGUAAUGCAUCCGUUACUAAAGGUUCGUUUGUUCAACAAUUAACAGU